GUCAGGAUGGCCGAGUGGUCUAAGGCGCCAGACUCAAGGUUAAACCUUCUCACUUAAUGAGGCUUCUGGUCUCCGAAUGGAGGCGUGGGUUCAAAUCCCACUUCUGACA
RNAcentral lists this transfer RNA (109 nucleotides) under Danio rerio (zebrafish). It matches the Rfam family "tRNA". From Rfam's summary of the family: Transfer RNA (tRNA) molecules are approximately 80 nucleotides in length. Their secondary structure includes four short double-helical elements and three loops (D, anti-codon, and T loops). Lineage: Eukaryota; Metazoa; Chordata; Actinopteri; Cypriniformes; Danionidae. The record is from Rfam by way of RNAcentral.